UGGGGAAUUUUGCACAAUGGGGGAAACCCUGAUGCAGCGACGCCGCGUGAUUUAGAAGGCCUUCGGGUUGUAAAAAUCUUUUUUACGGGAUGAAAAUGACAGUACCGUAAGAAUAAGGUCCGGCUAAAUACGUGCCAGCAGCCGCGGUAAUACGUAUGGACCGAGCGUUGUCCGGAAUCAUUGGGCGUAAAGGGUACGUAGGCGGGCUAGUAAGUUAGAAGUGAAAUAAUAUAGCUCAACUAUAUAAAGCUUUUCAAACUGCUAGGCUUGAGAGAUGGAAGGGAAAGUGGAAUUACUAGUGUAGCGGUGAAAUGAGCAGAUAUUAGGAAGAAUACCGGUGGCGAAGGAGACUUUCUGGUCAUCAUCUGACGCUGAGGUACGAAAGCGUGGGUAGCAAACAGG
RNAcentral lists this ribosomal RNA (402 nucleotides) under bacterium. RNAcentral's name for it is "partial 16S ribosomal RNA". It matches the Rfam family "Bacterial small subunit ribosomal RNA", at positions 355 to 776 of the family's 1533-position model. The record is from RNAcentral.